RNAcentral lists this ribosomal RNA (497 nucleotides) under uncultured bacterium. Its description in RNAcentral is "bacterial SSU rRNA". It matches the Rfam family "Bacterial small subunit ribosomal RNA", at positions 66 to 543 of the family's 1533-position model. The record is from RNAcentral.
GCGAGAAAGGGAGCAAUCCCCGGUACAGCGGCGCACGGGUGAGUAACACGUAGGUAAUCUGCCUCCGAGUGGGGGAUAACCUUCCGAAAGGAGGGCUAAUACCGCAUGAGACCACGCCUUCGAGAGAGGGAGGGGUCAAAGCCGGCCUCUAUACAUAAGCUGGCGCUUGGAGAUGAGCCUGCGGCCCAUCAGCUAGUUGGUAGGGUAAUGGCCUACCAAGGCAAAGACGGGUAGCUGGUCUGAGAGGAUGAUCAGCCACACUGGGACUGAGACACGGUCCAGACUCCUACGGGAGGCAGCAGUGGGGAAUCUUGCGCAAUGGGCGAAAGCCUGACGCAGCGACGCCGCGUGAGUGAUGAAGGCCUUCGGGUUGUAAAGCUCUGUGGAGGGGGACGAAUAAGAGUAGCCCAACACGCUAUUCGAUGACGGUACUCCUUUAGCAAGCACCGGCUAACUCUGUGCCAGCAGCCGCGGUAAGACAGAGGGUGCAAACGUUG